UUUCUCUCUCUUACUUUACUCUUUCUCAAUCACCCACACGAUUUCAUCCUUCCAAUUUCUUCUUCACUCCUCAUUCUCAUCUAACAAUCUUCCCUUUCUUCUCUGAAGAGUCGCUGGCACCACCACCACCAUCGUCCCUCGUGCCCAGCUCGUGCCCGCCACCACCGCCGUCACUCCUCACUUUCUUCAAACACUGAUGUUGCUUUGGGGUUUUUUGCUUUGGGGUUGUCGACGAAAAGAAUGCUGUGAGCAUCAAACAUGUUUGUUAAUUUUCAGAUUCUUUUCAUGGGUUGUCUUGGUCCAUGGAUGAGAGAUCGUUGAAAGAUGCGUUUUCUUCCUUUGGGGAGGUUACUGAAGGUAAUCGUGCAUGUUGAGCUUAACCCUUUGAUUUACCAGUUGUAGUCUACGUGUUCGACGAAAUGUCUAAUUGAUUUCAGACCUCAGUUCAUCACGUGUGCUUCUGGGUCGAAACAUUUUGCUUCCUUGACUUUCAUAAUUCCAAGGUUUUUCUUUCUAAAACUAAAUUUUGUUUCAUUGAAGUUUCUUCUUUUAUAAUUCUUGUAACGAGAGAGAAAAUGAGUUUGAGAUGUUUAGGAUUUAGGAGCGUUUUGUUUCGUAGCGUUUUACUAUGCUUUUGUGAUUUUCUUGGAAUAUUGAGACAAACCAAACAAUGAGAAAUAUAGAGAUUGAAAUAAUAACGAAUUUGAGAGGUGGGAAACUAGAAUUUAUAUAUGAGGUAAAAGGAAUUUGAUGUCCAUUAGUAAUCACUCUGGAACUUCACCAACAAAAUAGCUUUUGGGGAUGAAGUUCAUUUGAUAAGUUUAGAUGAAAUUGCAUGACCAUUUUGAAACUUCUGUGGUGAUCACUAGUCUAUAGAAACAUUAAUGUCCUGUAUGUUGCUUUGUUUGGUUUACUUGGUGACUUUAAUUUGUUUUGUUAAUUUGGAUGGAGUUAAUUGUUGUAAUGUUUAUAAGAUUUGACCUUAAACAUAGUUUUGUAGCUAUAUUUAUUAGUUCUUACUAUAGCAAAUAACUUUCUUAUCUUAAAGUUUUUAUGAGAAAUUUUCAUGAGCUUUUAUUUUGACGAUUGUUUAUUUUUAAGUACUUUUCAUAACUUAGUAUAACCUUUUUGUUGUAGUUAAGGUGUUUGAAAAAAUAUCUGAGAGAUCUUCACUAGAUUUUCAUAGUUACUAAUGUGGCAGCUAUUGGGUCUCAUUAAAGUUUAACUUUAUUUUGAGAUGUAUUUACGAAACAGUGAACUAUAAAUAUGUUUUCUUGUCAUGUUUCAUAAGUAGAAAUCAUGUUUCUAACCCAAACUUUAUUCAAAUAAAAUAAAUUCAGAAAGGAACCUUUUUGCUUCCUAUAUUUAUCAUAUAUACUUCUCCCCUCUCCCCUUCGCUUCCCACAUAAAAUCCAUCUUUUUCUCUAUACCAACAAAUAAACAAAGAAACAAAGAAAGAAAACCCCCUCCAAAAUGGCUGCUGCACAUCAGUUCCCUAAGACCUCCAUGUACCUUGAUCAAAACCCCGAAGCCGCCCUCAAGAACUUCGACGACGAUGGUCGAGAGAAACGAACGGGGACAUCAGUGAUAUGUUAGUUUGG
Molecule: long non-coding RNA, 1601 nt
Organism: Cucumis melo (muskmelon)
Lineage: Eukaryota; Viridiplantae; Streptophyta; Magnoliopsida; Cucurbitales; Cucurbitaceae
Exons: 4
Source: RefSeq, a predicted model, not a curated record